RNAcentral lists this ribosomal RNA (2241 nucleotides) under Streptomyces sp. IgraMP-1. Its description in RNAcentral is "bacterial LSU rRNA". It matches the Rfam family "Bacterial large subunit ribosomal RNA", at positions 1 to 2041 of the family's 2925-position model. The record is from RNAcentral. Lineage: Bacteria; Bacillati; Actinomycetota; Actinomycetes; Kitasatosporales; Streptomycetaceae.
UGUGGCCAAGUUUUUAAGGGCGCACGGUGGAUGCCUUGGCACCAGGAACCGAUGAAGGACGUGGGAGGCCACGAUAGUCCCCGGGGAGUCGUCAACCAGGCUUUGAUCCGGGGGUUUCCGAAUGGGGAAACCCGGCAGUCGUCAUGGGCUGUCACCCGCUGCUGAACUCAUAGGCAGUGUGGAGGGAACGCGGGGAAGUGAAACAUCUCAGUACCCGCAGGAAGAGAAAACAACCGUGAUUCCGGGAGUAGUGGCGAGCGAAACUGGAUGAGGCCAAACCGUAUGUGUGUGAUACCCGGCAGGGGUUGCGCAUGCGGGGUUGUGGGAUCUCUCUUCCACGGUCUGCCGGCCGUGGGACGAGUCAGAAACCGUUGAUGUAGGCGAAGGACAUGCGAAAGGUCCGGCGUAGAGGGUAAGACCCCCGUAGUCGAAACAUCAGCGGCUCGUUUGAGAGACACCCAAGUAGCACGGGGCCCGAGAAAUCCCGUGUGAAUCUGGCGGGACCACCCGCUAAGCCUAAAUAUUCCCUGGUGACCGAUAGCGGAUAGUACCGUGAGGGAAUGGUGAAAAGUACCGCGGGAGCGGAGUGAAAUAGUACCUGAAACCGUGUGCCUACAAGCCGUGGGAGCGUCGCGCAUCGAGCUUGCUCGGUGCGUCGUGACUGCGUGCCUUUUGAAGAAUGAGCCUGCGAGUUAGCGGUGUGUAGCGAGGUUAACCCGUGUGGGGAAGCCGUAGCGAAAGCGAGUCCGAACAGGGCGAUUUGAGUUGCACGCUCUAGACCCGAAGCGGAGUGAUCUAGCCAUGGGCAGGUUGAAGCGGCUGUAAGAGGUCGUGGAGGACCGAACCCACCAGGGUUGAAAACCUGGGGGAUGACCUGUGGUUAGGGGUGAAAGGCCAAUCAAACUCCGUGAUAGCUGGUUCUCCCCGAAAUGCAUUUAGGUGCAGCGUCGUGUGUUUCUUGCCGGAGGUAGAGCACUGGAUAGGCGAUGGGCCCUACCGGGUUACUGACCUUAGCCAAACUCCGAAUGCCGGUAAGUGAGAGCGCGGCAGUGAGACUGUGGGGGAUAAGCUCCAUGGUCGAGAGGGAAACAGCCCAGAGCAUCGACUAAGGCCCCUAAGCGUACGCUAAGUGGGAAAGGAUGUGGAGUCGCAGAGACAACCAGGAGGUUGGCUUAGAAGCAGCCACCCUUGAAAGAGUGCGUAAUAGCUCACUGGUCUAGUGAUUCCGCGCCGACAAUGUAGCGGGGCUCAAGCGUACCGCCGAAGUCGUGUCAUUGCAGCAAUACUCCCAACGGAGGCUGUGAUGGGUAGGGGAGCGUCGUGUGCCGGGUGAAGCAGCCGUGGAAGCGAGUUGUGGACGGUUCACGAGUGAGAAUGCAGGCAUGAGUAGCGAUUCACACGUGAGAAACGUGUGCGCCGAUUGACUAAGGGUUCCUGGGUCAAGCUGAUCUGCCCAGGGUAAGUCGGGACCUAAGGCGAGGCCGACAGGCGUAGUCGAUGGAUAACCGGUUGAUAUUCCGGUACCCGCUGUGAAGCGUCAAACAUUGAAUCCAGUGAUGCUAAGCCCGUGAAGCCGUUCCGGACCCUUCGGGGAAUGGAAAGUGGUGGAGCCGGUGGCCCGAGCUGGUAGUAGGUGAGUGAUGGGGUGACGCAGGAAGGUAGUCCAUCCCGGGCGGUGGUUGUCCCGGGGUAAGGGUGUAGGACGUCAGGUAGGUAAAUCCGCCUGGCUAUAGUCUGAGACCUGAUGCCGAGCCGAUUGUGGUGAAGUGGAUGAUCCUAUGCUGUCGAGAAAAGCCUCUAGCGAGUUUCAUGGCGGCCCGUACCCUAAACCGACUCAGGUGGUCAGGUAGAGAAUACCGAGGCGUUCGGGUGAACUAUGGUUAAGGAACUCGGCAAAAUGCCCCCGUAACUUCGGGAGAAGGGGGGCCAUGUCUGGUGAUGAGUCUUGCACUCUGAGCUGGGUGUGGCCGCAGAGACCAGCGAGAAGCGACUGUUUACUAAAAACACAGGUCCGUGCGAAGCCGUAAGGCGAUGUAUACGGACUGACGCCUGCCCGGUGCUGGAACGUUAAGGGGACCGGUUAGUCACAUUUCGGUGUGGCGAAGCUGAGAACUUAAGCGCCAGUAAACGGCGGUGGUAACUAUAACCAUCCUAAGGUAGCGAAAUUCCUUGUCGGGUAAGUUCCGACCUGCACGAAUGGCGUAACGACUUCUCGACUGUCUCAACCAUAGGCCCGUGAAA